CCAAUAGCGUAUAUUAAAGUUGUUGCAGUUAAAAAGCUCGUAGUUGAAUUUCGGGAUCAAUUUAUUGGUCGUACCUUUGGUACGUACUGAUUUUAUUGGUUUCUCCCUUCUGACGAUCCAUGAUGUCAUUAAUUUUGGUGUCUUGGGGAAUCAGGACUGUUACUUUGAAAAAAUUAGAGUGUUUAAAGCAGGCUCACGCUUGAAUACAUUAGCAUGGAAUAAUGAAAUAGGACGUUUAAUUCUAUUUUGUUGGUUUCUAGGAUUGACGUAAUGAUUAAUAGGGAUAGUUGGGGGCAUUAGUAUUCAAUUGUCAGAGGUGAAAUUCUUGGAUUUAUUGAAGACUAACUACUGCGAAAGCAUUUGCCAAGGAUGUUUUCAUUAAUCAAGAACGAAAGUUAGGGGAUCGAAGACGAUCAGAUACCGUCGUAGUCUUAACCAUAAACUAUGCCGACUAGGGAUCGGAUGAUGUUGAUUUUUUAAUGACUCAUUCGGCGCCUUACG
This 501-nucleotide ribosomal RNA is filed under the name uncultured Glomeromycotina. RNAcentral's name for it is "partial small subunit ribosomal RNA". It matches the Rfam family "Eukaryotic small subunit ribosomal RNA", at positions 591 to 1092 of the family's 1831-position model. Lineage: Eukaryota; Fungi; Glomeromycota. The record is from RNAcentral.